ACUACAUAUAGUAUUUAGGGUUUUUUGAUUCGUAAGGAUUGAAAACGAAGAGGGAAUUUGGAAUAGUAUACAUUUUUAAAAGAUAUUUAUCUUAUUAAGGUGGAUAUUAUCACUGAUAAAAAUGUCUAUUAAAGCCAAAGCUGCCCCCGCAACUGUAAAUGGUUUGUGGUGAUCAAAUACCACUGAAGUUUUAUCUUUGGGAAGGUGAUCAUCAUAAUAAACUAUGAGCCAGGAGACCUGCCUUAAAUCAAUUUUGUUA
Molecule: non-coding RNA, 259 nt
Filed under: Attibartonella tamiae
Lineage: Bacteria; Pseudomonadati; Pseudomonadota; Alphaproteobacteria; Hyphomicrobiales; Bartonellaceae
Also listed under: 1 other name
Source: RNAcentral